This 468-nucleotide ribosomal RNA is filed under the name uncultured bacterium. RNAcentral's name for it is "partial 16S ribosomal RNA". It matches the Rfam family "Bacterial small subunit ribosomal RNA", at positions 28 to 507 of the family's 1533-position model. The record is from RNAcentral.
GACGAACGCUGGCGGCGUGCUUAACACAUGCAAGUCGAACGGAAAGGCCCGGCUUUUGCUGGUCGCUCGAGUGGCGAGCGGGUGAGAAACACGUGAGUAACCCGUCCCUGACUUUGGGAUAACUUCAGGAAACUGCGGCUAAUACCGGAUAGGAUCUCCUGCUGCAUGGGGUGGGUUGGAAAGUGUCGGCGGUUGGGGAUGGACUGGCGGGUUACCAGCUUGUUGGUGGGGUAGUUGCUUACCAAGGUUUUGACGGAUAGCCGGCAUGAGAGGGUGACCGGCGUCAUUGGGACUAAGGUAGGGACCAGACUCCAACGGGAGGCAACGGUGGGGAAUAUUGCAGAGUGGGGGGAAGCCUGUUGCGAAAGCGCCGCGUGCGGAAUGACGGCUUUCGGGUUGUAAACCGCUUUCGCCUGUGACGAAGCGUGAGUGACGGUACUGGAUCAAGAAGCACCGGCUAACUACGUG